RNAcentral lists this long non-coding RNA (739 nucleotides) under Volvox carteri. RNAcentral's name for it is "long non-coding RNA (VCAR_LNC004258)". The record is from RNAcentral. Lineage: Eukaryota; Viridiplantae; Chlorophyta; Chlorophyceae; Chlamydomonadales; Volvocaceae.
GCGCAUGUGGGGGGCAGAAGAAGGGGAAGUGCAGCUCGACGGCGACGAGGAGGAAGCCAAGUAGCCUCUCGCCGAGGAAGGAGGGUAUGAGGAGGAGGUCUAAAGCCCCAAGCUAAGUAGCGGCAGUGGGAAAGCGGCUGGAGGGCUGAAAUAAGGUGUUGGUUACAGUUGGUUUAUCAACACAGAACACCAUAUAUAUAUCAAAAUCUUUGUAGCUACCUAGAGUCUUCACGACGCGUUGCGACGUGCCCACCCUCCAACACACACAAUUACACAUACAAUUACACACACACACACACACACACACAGACACACACACAGACACACCCAUAGACAUAGGUAGGCAGACAGGUAGGCAGACAGGUAGGCAGACAGGUAGGCAGACAGUCAGGCAGACAGGUAGGCAGACAGGUAGGCAGACAGGUAGGCAGACAGGUAGGUAGGUAGGUAGGUAGUUAGGUAGGUUGGAGGUGUGCAUGCACCAAAGUGUUUCGUGGUGAAUAGAGUCAAAAGUCCUACUGAAGUUUAUCUGCAUCACGAUAAGUGGUCUGUCUCCGGGCAAUGUAUGCUAAGAAAUGAGGUGGCGCAGGGCAACACGGAGAAUUGAUUUCUCCGUUCCAGAGCCACACCUACAUCCCGCCUGUCUUGCGGCGCAGUUUCCGUUUUCCUCACAGAAUUUGUAACCCGGCUAGCGAUGAGCGCGGCGCACAACUUGCACAAAGGGUCCCCCACAGCGAUA